CCCUUAGAUGUUCUGGGCCGCACGCGCGCUACACUGAUGCAUUCAACGAGUCUAAAACCUGCUCUGAUAGGGGUGGGUAAUCUUUUGAAUGUGCAUCGUGAUUGGGAUAGAUGAUUGCAAUUUUUCAUCUUCAACGAGGGAUGCCUAGUAAACGCAAGUCAUCAGCUUGCAUUGAUUACGUCCCUGCCCUUUGUACACACCGCCCGUCGCUCCUACCGAUUGAAUGAUCCGAUGAAUAUCAUGGAUUGAGGAUGUAAGCAGGUUCGCCUGUCUUCAUCUUCGAGAAGUGAAGUAAAUCUUAUCAUUUAGAGGAAGGUGAAGUCGUAACA
This 329-nucleotide ribosomal RNA is filed under the name uncultured eukaryote. Its description in RNAcentral is "partial 18S ribosomal RNA". It matches the Rfam family "Eukaryotic small subunit ribosomal RNA", at positions 1470 to 1796 of the family's 1831-position model. The record is from RNAcentral.